Molecule: ribosomal RNA, 253 nt
Filed under: uncultured bacterium
Lineage: Bacteria
Description: partial 16S ribosomal RNA
Rfam family: Bacterial small subunit ribosomal RNA
Source: RNAcentral
UACGGAGGGGGCUAGCGUUGUUCGGAAUUACUGGGCGUAAAGCGCACGUAGGCGGACUGGAAAGUUGGAGGUGAAAUCCCAGGGCUCAACCUUGGAACUGCCUUCAAAACUAUCAGUCUGGAGUUCGAGAGAGGUGAGUGGAAUUCCGAGUGUAGAGGUGAAAUUCGUAGAUAUUCGGAGGAACACCAGUGGCGAAGGCGGCUCACUGGCUCGAUACUGACGCUGAGGUGCGAAAGUGUGGGGAGCAAACAGG